UCCAGACUCCUACGGGAGGCAGCAGUGAGGAAUAUUGGUCAAUGGGCGGAAGCCUGAACCAGCCAAGUCGCGUGAGGGAAUAAGGCCCUACGGGUCGUAAACCUCUUUUGCCGGGGAGCAAGGGCCGGGACGCGUCCCGGCCCGGAGAGUACCCGGAGAAAAAGCAUCGGCUAACUCCGUGCCAGCAGCCGCGGUAAUACGGAGGAUGCGAGCGUUAUCCGGAUUUAUUGGGUUUAAAGGGUGCGUAGGCGGGCUUUUAAGUCAGCGGUAAAAAUUCGGGGCUCAACCCCGUCCGGCCGUUGAAACUGGGGGCCUUGAGUGGGCGAGAAGAAGGCGGAAUGCGUAGUGUAGCGGUGAAAUGCAUAGAUAUCACGCAGAACCCCGAUUGCGAAGGCAGCCUUCCGGCGCCCUACUGACGCUGAGGCACGAAAGUGCGGGGAUCGAACAGGAUUAGAUACCCAA
RNAcentral lists this ribosomal RNA (462 nucleotides) under uncultured bacterium. RNAcentral's name for it is "bacterial SSU rRNA". It matches the Rfam family "Bacterial small subunit ribosomal RNA", at positions 330 to 789 of the family's 1533-position model. The record is from RNAcentral.